RNAcentral lists this microRNA precursor (66 nucleotides) under Ovis aries (sheep). Its description in RNAcentral is "miRNA (ENSOARG00000021373.1)". Lineage: Eukaryota; Metazoa; Chordata; Mammalia; Artiodactyla; Bovidae. The record is from RNAcentral.
UGGCCAAAAAGUUCAUUUGGGUUUUUCUGCACCAUCUUAUGGAAAAACCUGAACAAACUUUUUGGC